GCCUUCGUAGCUCAAUGGAUAGAGCGGCGGUCUUCGGAACCGUUGAUGGGGGUUCGAUUCCUCUCGAAGGCG
This 72-nucleotide transfer RNA is filed under the name Candidatus Levybacteria bacterium CG2_30_37_29. Its description in RNAcentral is "tRNA-Arg". It matches the Rfam family "tRNA". From Rfam's summary of the family: Transfer RNA (tRNA) molecules are approximately 80 nucleotides in length. Their secondary structure includes four short double-helical elements and three loops (D, anti-codon, and T loops). Lineage: Bacteria; Candidatus Levyibacteriota. RNAcentral also lists the same sequence under 2 other names. The record is from RNAcentral.